CGUGCAAGCCCGGAGGCUUGCGUGUAGGUGGGCUGGCCGUCCCUCGCGUGUGUGUGAGUGUGAGUGACCGGGAGUGUGAGUGGGGGGGCGCUCUGGCCCUUCCCAGUGUGGGGCCCGCGGAGACACCGUUCGGGGGCUGCCCAGAGCCGCCCGGCUUUCUGGCUGCGGAGAAGGUUGUGGAGCCUGACGGGUCACUGACACCCGAAAAGGGAUACUGUGCUGGAUUUUGUCCGUGCGAUUCCUUCCAAGGCAGUGCCUGCAGCCAGCAUCAAAGUGGGCUGGGAAGAGGAUGAGUCUCCACCCAGCCGAGGCUCUGAGCCAUGCGUGGAUCCCUGAGCUGCUGAAGCAAGAGAAGUGCUGGGUCCCUGUCAUUGUCAUUUGCUGUGCAGCACUAGUGUGUGCGAGCCUCACCUGUGCUCGGCGUUGGAGGAAACAAAUCAUAAAAAGCACCGUCUCGAGGAUUUCUCGAGGAAUGCAGCAGCUUUUAUCAGUAGAAAGUAGGUGUGCAGACCCUGUGCCCAUGAGCCCAGCUCAGUCCUUUUGGCGGGGGGAUCGGGUGAGACCCUGAGAUUCUGUGCAAACCUCCACAGUUUGCCCAGAGCCUUUGUCAGAUUGCAGAGGGAUUUGCACCCUCGAAAACAUUACCGCCACUGACUUGGAAGAGGGCCCAAGACAAGCCUGUGAACAUGGAGACGAGCAGCGAGCUGGAC
This 710-nucleotide long non-coding RNA is filed under the name Heterocephalus glaber (naked mole-rat). RNAcentral's name for it is "lncRNA (ENSHGLG00000038771.1)". The record is from RNAcentral. Lineage: Eukaryota; Metazoa; Chordata; Mammalia; Rodentia; Bathyergidae.